CUGAGGUACUGACAGCUGCCAUUUUACUGGAAAGCGGCGAGCUAGCCAUACACCUUUUGCUUAGUUUAAGACCGAAUUUGAAUCUGGUUCCUGGAAGUCCUAAAGGUGCCCCUCCCUGUGUCCGUGCAGCCAGGUGACAGUGCUCCUGUUGGGGAUCAGCACCCUGACCCUCCAGUUCUACGUGCUGUUACGGCCCAGGUCCUCCCGGUUCUGCAGCCAGCCCCUCCUGGCCAACCUGGUCGGUAGCAUGGUCUUCACCCUGCUCACACUUGGGCUCUUUGUGCUGCUCACUCAGACGGAGCUGGCCCCGUUGGCUCUAAGGACAGCACUGGUGGUAUUUGGCGUGGCGUCCUUUGGUGAAGGAGUCUGCUCUGGGCUGUUAACACUCCUGGCAUCAGACUGCGAGAAAACCACCCCUGAACUUUACUAUGUAUCUGUGGUGCUGUCAGUGGGCAGCCUGGUAUCCACGGUGCUUUUUUCUGGCAUGGGGCUCAUCUGGCUGUCCAAAGUGACCUGCCCAAGGCCAGAUGCUAAGCCAACAGUCUGAAGCUAGCCCAGAGGUCCUGCUGGUUUCCUGCCUCAUUUACACGCCUGGGCUGACUGAGUCCGCCCCAGCAUUACCACUGUGUACCGUCAAGCAUCUCACAAGAUGAUCUCCUAGCUGCCAUUUCUACAUAAAAUGUCUGCUGCACAUCAUAACCACGCAGGAAGCAUGCCAAGACCAGCCAUCAUAGAAGCUGCU
RNAcentral lists this long non-coding RNA (742 nucleotides) under Mus caroli (Ryukyu mouse). RNAcentral's name for it is "lncRNA (MGP_CAROLIEiJ_G0003602.1)". Lineage: Eukaryota; Metazoa; Chordata; Mammalia; Rodentia; Muridae. The record is from RNAcentral.